UGUAGAUGUAUUGCUUAGGGGCAAGCUGCCCAUGAUCUGUUGUUGAUCUCUGCCUUGUGUCCAAUUGGGGCUUUAAACAAUGGUUCACUUGUGCAAAGAGAAGCUUCUUGGAUGAGGGAUUCCUCCGUCUACCACCAAGCAAUCGGAGACAAGGCGGGCGCAGUAACACUGAAAACAUGCCAACUGUGCCUCACACAUAUUGGAUACAUGGAACUGAACUCCUCCUAAUCUCCACUUCGCAUUAUUACCAGCACCUGGGCACCGUGGUAGUCGGUUCUCCCAGACCCCAGCAGGAAAAUAAUAAGAAGGAACCUGGAGUCCGUGCACAGCAUUCAAGGACUGAACCAGCGUUGAACUAACAAGAACCAUUCUUUUGAAAGGCACCUAGAGAUUUCCUCGCUUGCAAAGUUGCUCUGGACUGAAAGUUAUCAUAGGAACUGUGAAGCUACCAAGGAUAUCCAAGUCCAGGUAUGAAAUCUUCAGUCUUCUGUGCAGGUCACCUGGACCUCCAUGAUCCUUCAACACUCAGAGGAAUUACAAGUCUCACAACCUGAACAAAGUCAGUACACGUCAGCGCCGCUUGUAAAUCAUGCCAGACGUGACUUUUGUCGAUUCGUUUUGUUUCUAGCAAGAUGGAAAACCAUUAAUACGGUCUUUAACUUUAAAGCAGACUUGUGAGCGCCGAGAUAAAAUACUAAGAAUUCUCUCUGACUGAACGAAGAAACAAUAAAACGAGCUGAUUCUAUUUGUGGAUAACAAAACCCUUCUCAAGAAGGAGCACACACUUCCUUAAGUGCUAAUCAUCCUACCCAGUCUCACUCACUGACUUAAAAAACAGGUUUCUCACAGUGUCUGAAGUAAGGCAGACUUGCAAUAAGAAGGUAUAUAAUUCCUUUCAAAUAAAUGUGGGCACUGACUCUAGUCUGUGUGUCUGGCCAAGGGCUAUAAAGGGCAUCCAUUUGGUUAUACGCUUACGCU
Molecule: small RNA, 978 nt
Filed under: Rattus norvegicus (Norway rat)
Lineage: Eukaryota; Metazoa; Chordata; Mammalia; Rodentia; Muridae
Description: uncharacterized LOC102548445
Source: RNAcentral